Molecule: ribosomal RNA, 465 nt
Filed under: Vreelandella stevensii
Lineage: Bacteria; Pseudomonadati; Pseudomonadota; Gammaproteobacteria; Oceanospirillales; Halomonadaceae
Description: partial 16S ribosomal RNA
Rfam family: Bacterial small subunit ribosomal RNA
Source: RNAcentral
CCUACGGGUGGCUGCAGUGGGGAAUAUUGGACAAUGGGGGGAACCCUGAUCCAGCCAUGCCGCGUGUGUGAAGAAGGCCCUCGGGUUGUAAAGCACUUUCAGUGAGGAAGAACGCCUGGUGGUUAAUACCCAUCAGGAAAGACAUCACUCACAGAAGAAGCACCGGCUAACUCCGUGCCAGCAGCCGCGGUAAUACGGAGGGUGCGAGCGUUAAUCGGAAUUACUGGGCGUAAAGCGCGCGUAGGUGGCUUGAUAAGCCGGUUGUGAAAGCCCCGGGCUCAACCUGGGAACGGCAUCCGGAACUGUCAAGCUAGAGUGCAGGAGAGGAAGGUAGAAUUGCCGGUGUAGCGGUGAAAUGCGUAGAGAUCGGGAGGAAUACCAGUGGCGAAGGCGGCCUUCUGGACUGACACUGACACUGAGGUGCGAAAGCGUGGGUAGCAAACAGGAUUAGAUACCCUUGUAGUC